CGGCUUGGAAUUUUGUCUCGGUCAAAGCGGUGUCGUUUCCUUUCUGUCUCCUCUCAACUCUCUUUUCAAUUAAUUUGUUUUACUCUUCUUUCUUAUCUCCCAAUUAGCCUGGUCCCUCCCAAGAUCCCUCCGCCGACCGGAGCUCCUCCCUGACCUCGCUCUUGCGUUCAUGCUCUGGCUUCUCCAUGCGUGGAGCUCUCCCGCUUGGAGGCUGUGGGAGGAGUCCUGGUCUCUUGAUUUUGGUGUGGUUUUUGGCCUCUCGGUGGUGCCGCUGGGGAUCUCGAGCGGCCAGCCAUGCCAUUUCCCGUCGGGCUCCGGCAGCAGCAGUCCGUCCCACAGGAUUCCCGAACGGCCGGAGCCCGUCGUGCCGCUAUUUUUCCCUCCGUUCCAUUGCUCCACUAGACUGCUGCGCUACUGCCGCUUGAUGCAGUCCUGCCGGCCGCCAAUUGAGACGAAGCUCGGCUGCACCGGCUGCCGGCUGCCGCUCGAUUCGGCGGCCAGCCACAACCAACGCUGGCCGCACCGGUCGAGUCCGCACCCAGUUGCCACCGAAGUCGCUCUUAUGCGUCGCCACCUCCGGCCACCAUUAUUCUGCAUCUCCUAGACGUCUGUACACUUGGAUAGAGCCUCUUCCUCCAUCGGGCGCCGGCGCUGCUCCGCCUCUGUCUGACCACGCAGUCACCGAGGAUGGCCGCUCUUUGUUCCAUCAGGCGCUGCUGCCGCCGCGCCGUCUCCGUGCGGCCAUGGUCAACCGACGUUGCGGCGCACGUGACGAGCUCGCCCCCUUCCGCGUCGCCUUCUCCGCCUCUGCGUCGUCGUUGCACCCGCCCGUGGGCGCGAGUUCAAGGAUCCGUGCGACCAUGGUCACCUGGUGGCGCGACGCACACGGCAAGUUCGGCCUGCCCGGGGGCGGGCGUUCGUCUGUUCAGCUUGAAUUUCCUCCCGUUCCGGGCACAAUUGCAUGUUUCGCAAGGUGCUGCAGUUGGUAUCGCCUCUGCUCUAAGAUCGAUCAAUUGUUCCCAUCUUCUAAUCCUGCUAUUUCUGGUUAUUCUUUGGUCAAUUUCGUGCCUAUUUCUCGGGUAGUACAUUGUGCUUUGUCUGACGCCAAAGCUUGGAGGCAGGAAAUCUUGCAGUAGCCCGAAGCGGCAAGACGUCGUUACGUAGUUUCAAGAGCCACUAGAUUGAUAAGGCAUAUUGGAAAAGUAAGGAUGCACAUUUCCUUGGUAAAAGAUGUAUCACACGGAGUCUACCAAUGGAAAUGGUGCGUGUUGGCGCACCUGGGAAUAUAGAGAUUAGGACACACGACAUCAAUUAUACGAGAUGGAUUUUAUUGUCGUCAACCGUGAGGGAAACAUGGUAGAGGGGGCUGUUUACCGGCCUACUGUGCCGAUCAAUUAAGAGACUAAUUGAAGAAAGGCUUGAUCUAGGCUUGAGAUGUUCAUUGUUGCGGGAGCACCAAAGAAGCCCAGAACGGCAAGCCAUCCGUAUAUGAUCAACUUUGCUCAAUGCACAAUGAUUCAGGAAGUUGCUCAUCAGCCUGAGAAUUUCCCUCUUUAUCAUAUAAUGCUUAUCCAUUUGAUGUUCUGGAAGCAUGUAUAGCAGAUGCAUACUUUAAGGUUUCCUUCAUUCUGCACUACAGAUGUUAUUGGGGCUUUUAUGUGUCAAUCAUAAGAAGAACCUGUAAUAAAAGUCGCCUCUAUAGCAGACCUCUUCUAGCACAUCGUUGUUGUAGUGAAUUUGUUUUGAUCUAAAAAUAUUUUUUUUUGUGCGAGGUAUAUUUCUCGAAUUGUGAAAUAAUUAUUAUGGUUUUCACAAUAGAGUAGAAUUGUAUUGAUUGCUAGAGUAACAAAAUUUUUGGUGUGCUGACAUAGUGCAGGAGUCAUGGUACAGCAAUAUACAUCAAUUUUUUUCUUUUCUUGGUUACUUCAGUCCUUUUUUUAAUUUCAUAUGACUCUUUAAGAAAUUCGGGACUAGAUGCAAAUUAUGUAAGCACAUGGUACAAUGCUGCCAAUGAUUCACUGAAUAUACGCUUUACAAUCAGAUACAAUCCAACCAACAAAUUUAUGUCCAUUUGCCAUAAAGUAAUCCCAGAUCGUGGGAAACAUGUUGUGCAGUCCAAUAAGGUUACUUAUAUCAUCAGUACUUUCUCAAAACAUCUACUUUUGUCAGGUUUCUCAUGUCUUACAUGCAUCCCGGCAAACUCCACUUCGUGGAAAAUUUUGAAGCUAGCAUUCUAUUGCCAACUUUGACUUGCUUUUGUUGAAGACCAAUUUCCAUUCUAAAGCCUGCCCAUGUAAUUCUAUGUGAUGAAUGCACCAAAUCCUUUCAUGAUUUCAUUCGAGGAACUCAUAGCAUCAAAGACACAUUGACUGCACAGUCAUUUUCACUCAUUAUUAGAUGAAGCUCGUGUCAGGGAAUAAGUCUAAUUAAGGCUAUGCAUACUCUAGAAUGGUUGUACCACUAUGCUGGGUUGCAAGAGGUAUAACACCAUGUCUCCUUUAAUUAGUCAGUUGGUACCCGGCGUAUACCAGUUAGAGGUGAAAAUUUCUUGGUUUUAGUUGUAUUAUAGUUUAAGUCAGGUCAUACCCCAGUCCUACUCAGUUUGAUCCUAACUCGAAAUGUUAUUUUUCCCCUUAGACCUUUGAAUUGCUAAUAUUUUUUCAUGGUUCUGUAACAAUGGUUAGCAAGUUUAUUGUUGGCUAUUUUGGCA
Molecule: long non-coding RNA, 2710 nt
Organism: Lolium perenne
Lineage: Eukaryota; Viridiplantae; Streptophyta; Magnoliopsida; Poales; Poaceae
Source: RefSeq, a predicted model, not a curated record